GACGAGUCUCACAAACGUUAUUCGGAAUUAUUGGGCGUAAAGAGCUCGUAGGCGGUCUGUCGCGUCGGCUGUGAAAUCCCGAGGCUCAACCUCGGGUCUGCAGUCGAUACGGGCAAACUGGAGUGUUGCAGGGGAGACUGGAAUUCCUGGUGUAGCGGUGAAAUGCGCAGAUAUCAGGAGGAACACCGGUGGCGAAGGCGGCGACCUGGACCGGUACUGACGCUGAGACGCGAAAGCGUGGGGAGCAAACAGG
This 253-nucleotide ribosomal RNA is filed under the name uncultured bacterium. RNAcentral describes it as "partial 16S ribosomal RNA". It matches the Rfam family "Bacterial small subunit ribosomal RNA", at positions 524 to 776 of the family's 1533-position model. The record is from RNAcentral.